RNAcentral lists this long non-coding RNA (3641 nucleotides) under Nicotiana tabacum (common tobacco). RNAcentral's name for it is "long non-coding RNA (NTAB_LNC000969)". Lineage: Eukaryota; Viridiplantae; Streptophyta; Magnoliopsida; Solanales; Solanaceae. The record is from RNAcentral.
UUCUUCUUCUUCUUCAUUCAUCUUCUUCCUCAAAAUCCCCAUUAAACACACCCCAAUAAUGCUUCAAAAACCAGCAACAAAACACCUUGAAAUCAGUCCAAAAUAGCUCCAAAAUCACUGGAAAAACGCAACUGAAACACACUGUCUUUUCACCCAAAAAAACCAGUUUUCUCCAUAGCCUUUCAACCCCAUAAACUUUAGCUAAAAUUAGUCCCGAAAUAGUUGCAAAAGGCUGCCAGCUUGACCGCGAAAAAGCUUCUCUUUUAAUGUCAAAACAGAGACUGCCGAUGAGUUCGAGCUCAUCGCUUGAAAAGUCACUGUUCGAGUCACUUGAGGUUCGAAGUCUUCUGGGCAGUUGAGGUCUGUUUGUGAGAUUGCCGACGAGUCCUUUGUUCCCGGUUUAGCUUGGUCGAGUUUUCUUGUCGAAUUUUCAUCUUUGUAUUCGAGAAGGUUUAAUAUAUAAAAGUUAAAGAAGAUUCAAAUCAAAAUCAAAAUCAGAACAGUAGAUUAACCUGGGAAGGUUAUAAUGUAUUGCUUGACAUCAAUGACGGUGACCGUUUGAUUUUUUGCUCGUCUUACUAUUGCCUCGUAAGUAAAUUACUACCAAAAUUUACUGUCUGCUGCUGUGAGCACGUGAUUUUUACCCGACUAAAAUACUCCUACAAAAUUCGCAAAAAAAAAAAUAGUUUUUUUCUAAUUAGUUUAAUUUUUGAUAUAAUUUUUAGGAAUUUCAUGUUAAUUGUUGUUUGCAUUUAGUUGCAUAUUUAAUAUUUUAAAAUCAUGAAAAAUACCAUAAAAAUGUUCAAAAAUUUCAUGCAUUGCAUUUUAGGUUUUUGUUUGCAUUUUUAGGAUUAAGUUGUUAAUUGAUUGCAUUAUUAAACAAAAAUCACAAAAUACCAUAGGCUCUUAUAUUUUUAUCUCUUAGUUCCACAUUAUUAAUUUUUGCUUCAUUAGUUUUAGGUUAAUUAAUGAUCUAAAUAUUAGAAAUAGUGAGUAGGUUAAUUUUGCAAAUUAGAAUUAAGAUAGAAUCUAAUUAGGAUUUAUAUUUUUUAAAUUUGUAGAAUUUUAAAAUGAAAGAAAAAUAAAGAAAGAAAGAGCAAGAAGAGAAAGGGCCAAUUUUGUUGCAAAAGCAAACUGGGUCGUUCUAUUAAGCUCAAUUCCCUUUUUACCCAGCCCAAUCCCGCCAAUUUCAUAUCCGGUCCAACCUCAUUUAAACUAAACGACGCCGUUUUAGUAACGGCAAUCUUGGCUGUUCAUUUCCCCAAUCCAACGGCCCUCAACUCACCACCAUUCCCCUUUAUAAUUAUCCGAAACUAGACCCCCCCUCCCUCCCCACCCCUCACUCACCCACACUACUCUCUCUCCACACNCCCCCCCCUCCCCCCCCCCCAAACCCUAGACUCCACAUAACUCGUCUCUCUCACACUUUCUCACCUCCGCCGUCCGCCACCCACAGGAAAUCGCCUACAGCGGCGGCGACACCCCAAACCACCCCAAAAUUGACACCAAAUAAUCUCUAACACCCCCUAAUCAUCAUCCUACCACCAAUUUCCCCAAAAUCCCCACCCAUCUUCUCCAAUUUCGGAUCUAAGAAAAUCAGAAAACCUAAAUAUGGUUUUUUCCCCGGAAAUUUCAAGUAUGUUUUGGUUCAAACUUACAUGAGUCAAUUGCUCUUGACACGAGCAAUCGAUUCAUGUUAGUUUGGUUCAUUUCGAAGCUCAUCGGAUUCUGGCCAACCCACCACUGACCGGUCAAGUUUCAUCGCCAUCGUUCGUUGAUUCGCCUCAAUCAUCGACUCAGCUUUUGGCCCAAAAUCAGUAAACCCCUUCUCUCUUGUUCCUUUGCUUCUUUUUUCUAAUUAUCAGUUAGGUUUAAUUUUUGAUUGUUUUGUUUGAUUGAUAGGAUUAUCUAGUUAAUUACAUGUUAAUUAGUUUUAAUUGCAUAAGUUGUUGGUUUAAUCAAUUUUAAGUAAUUAGAUGUUAAAACAAGUUAAUAGCUAAUUGGUUUGGUUUUACAUUAUUGCUUUUGUUUUAGCAAUGGGUUGUUUAUCAUUAUCCAUAAGUUUAAAAGGGACGUUUGGAAUUGGAAAUGGGUAGUUGAGUCUAUUGUUGAACUUGUUUGCUCUUCUGGGGUAGCUGUUUGUAAUUAACAAAAACUAAAGGAGUCAAAGGGAUCUGGAAAAUUAGGAAAUCUGGUUUGGUUGUUUGGGGAAGUCUCUAGAAGGGACUAAAGUGCAGGCAAAAACAUAUAGAGAAUAUCUGGAUAAGACAACUGUCCCAACAGCUCUCCAUUUUCAGUUUUAAAAGAUGCUUUUUUCCUGAAAUUUAGGAGUGGCCUGCUGAGAAUUAUUCCUCAUCCUUAGGAGCACAUGUCAGAUUUUAUUCCCUAUAUAUAGACCUCUUAUUUUUCACAGAUGAGGAAUACUCAGCUUCAUUCCUCUCCAAAUACAAUCAAGAAUAGACACAGAUUUUAGAAGGAAUUCUCUGAAAAUUGGAUCCUCUUUUCAUUUUUUCUGAGACUGCUUUCUUCUGGAGAAUACUGAAAAAUUCCAACGAGUCUUUUUCUCUGUUAAAUUGGCUAUAUAAAUUCUGGUUUGCUUCAAAAGAGUAUGAGAUAUCUAAAAUCUUUUGCUGUCAUUCUGCUCGUUUGGAAGAGAUUUAAGGUUGUUUUCUCUGGUUUGCUGCUGUUGAAUACUGGCUGAUUGGUAGUUGAUCUUCAUAUCUGGUUUUUCUUUGACCUUUAUUUGGUCGUGGAUCUAAUGUUUGAUUUCAAGUUACUAGGUAUGUGACUAUACCUUUGUAUUUUGCUGUUAAGAUGUUAAUCGAAAAUCUGAGUUACAUGUUAGUUUGUGAAUCCAUGUUAUUUGAUAUGAGAUUUAUCCACACUGAGUGGUCCAGUUGUGAUGUGUUUGUUGUCUCUGCAUUAUGAAGUUAGUAAUCCUGAUUGUUUUCAAUAUGUUUCUGCAUUUGUUUGUUUGUUUGGUUGAUAUUUGAAAUGCAUUUGAAUCCAGCCCUGUUGGAAAUCUUAUUUUGAUUAUCGUUUGGGACUGGUAAGUUAUGCAAAGGAUGUGAGAGCUUAUGGAGUCAGUUGAAGAUGUGAUGAUUGGGGUUCAAAAUUGUGAAAUUCCAACUUUGAGAUUCUUCUGUUCGUAACUCUGAGUUAGUCAUUUUAGAUUAGUUGUUCAAGCUAUGAUGUAACUCUUACUAUUAACCUCUCUUAGAUAGGUUUGAAGCAUGUAAAUGAACGAACUAUCCGUGUGCUGAAUCCAAUUUCUUUCGGUGCAUGAAGAGCGUUAUUUUAGGAUUUGUGUUGUCCUUUGCAUAAAUGGCGAGCUUUUGGGCCAGACUUGUACAGGCAGCCCAGUAUGGACAAGUCUGGACAUCUCAGGUGCUUUAACUUGGGAUGUUGAACCCAAUUUUCGUUUGUUCUGUUUCAUUUUGUGUAUUUCUCUUCUUAUAAUAAUAGCAGCUUAAUUAAUCUGCUUCUUUCCAAUUGAUGUGAACAAGUAAAUGCUUAGCCGUUUGCUUUAGGCGCGUUUAAAUAAAUCAUCGUGACUAUAGAUAUGGUUCCCGUGGCAUAGUCAUGAUACGUAAUCCCCAAUUCGAGUGCACAUUUCAUGUGACCCGACCCUAACUUCAAAC